RNAcentral lists this ribosomal RNA (492 nucleotides) under uncultured bacterium. RNAcentral describes it as "partial 16S ribosomal RNA". It matches the Rfam family "Bacterial small subunit ribosomal RNA", at positions 29 to 507 of the family's 1533-position model. The record is from RNAcentral.
AGUGAACGCUGGCGGCAGGCCUAAUACAUGCAAGUCGAACGGAAGCACAGUAAGCGUUCGUCUCUACGGGUGGCGAGUGGCGGACGGGUGAGGCAUACAUAGGAUUCCUAUUUUUCGUGGGGGAUAUCGUAGGGCAAUAUAUGCUACUACCGCAUAUGUUCUACGGGUGAAAGCAGGGGUUCUUCGGACUUUGCGCGACAGUAUGAGCUGAUGUCGGAUUAGCUAGUUGGCGAGGUAAAGGCCCACCAAGGCAACGAUGCAUAGCUGAUCUGAGAGGAUGAUCGGCCACACUGGAACUGAGACACGGCCCAGACUCCUACGGGAGGCAGCAGUAGGGAAUAUUCGGCAAUGGGCGCAAGCCUGAUCCAGCCAUGCCGCGUGAGUGAAGAAGGCCUUCGGAUUGUAAAACCCUUUUAUUAGGGAAGAAAAGCUGCGUAAGUAAACCCCGCUAUUCUGACGGUACCCAAUCAGAAAGCACCGGCUAACUUCGUG